Molecule: small RNA, 28 nt
Filed under: Bombyx mori (domestic silkworm)
Lineage: Eukaryota; Metazoa; Arthropoda; Insecta; Lepidoptera; Bombycidae
Description: ovarian small RNA-4539
Source: RNAcentral
AGCCGUUGGACCACCAGAAGACCUCGAU